Molecule: unclassified non-coding RNA, 602 nt
Filed under: Hevea brasiliensis (rubber tree)
Lineage: Eukaryota; Viridiplantae; Streptophyta; Magnoliopsida; Malpighiales; Euphorbiaceae
Source: RNAcentral
GCAAAUCAAGUUUCAACUCCUCAUUCAAUGAGAUCGAGAAGGACAGCCACAUGGGCCCGCCCUCGAAAUUCUGAUGAUGGAUAUUCUAGUGAUUCAAUUCUGAGGCAUGCAUCAAGCGAUUUCAAGAAAAUGGGUCAACGCAUUUUUGUAUUUAUAGUUGGUGGAGCUACACGAUCAGAGUUGCGGGCUUGUCACAAGUUAUCUACAAAGCUGAAGAGAGAGGUAGUUCUUGGUUCAUCCAGCAUCGAUGACCCUCCACAAUUUAUUACGAAAUUAAAGCUCCUGACUGCAGACGAGCUCUCGCUGGAUGAUUUGCAGAUCUAGAAACAAAUUGCUGGGGAAGAUGGCGACCGAAAUCUCUUAUUUCCCAGGCUAGCAUUCCAAUUGUAUACCAAACUACGUUGAUUCAUUUCAAUUUUUGACAGUCUUUUGGUAGAUAUCUGGUACAUUGAAAGGUUAAAUGCAAAGUUGGUGGAACAUUCAGAUUCCCCAGAACGUUACAAUGUGCCAACAAAUUAGGGGUUUGGGUGUGUUGUAUCAUUUUUAUAGGUUCCAUUCAAGACUUCCAUUGUGUGUAAUGUAAUUUCUGUUAAUGUAGAGGC